GAAGAAAUGUAAAUAAUUUGUGGCUGUAGGAAAGAUGGUAGCAGAGAAACCAGAUGACCUUGAAAGUUCAGCCUCUUUAUCAGGAUGUCUGCCAGACAUAGCUGUACAUUGUCACUGUGUAUCUGAACCCCAAUGGUCAUGUGAAGAAAAGCCCCAUAAGCUGAUUGCCCAAUCACUUGGAGAGACAGGACCAAUUCAUCUGCAGAAUGAAAUAGCAAAUAUUGCUGUAAGGAACAUAUCCCUAAUAAACAAAACAAAGAAAUCCAGCUGGUGCAAAGUAAGCUCGAAACUCCAGGGCCUGCAGAACAAAAUGAAAGCACCCACUUCAGUAGAAGCUGCUUCCCAGAAACUACUCGAGAAAUAUAAACAGGCUAUAUACCAUCAUGUGAUACUUAAUGUAAUGGAAACAGCAGCACUGUCCUGUCAGGUCUCCGGUCACCUACGUGCUUUUGCCACUUCUGUGUUGACUCAGCUGAGACAAGCUCAUGGUGCCAUUCUAGUGGCAGCUAGUGGCCAUUCAGCUUCCACAGAGAAAAUGAAAGUGGAUCACUCAUUCUCCAACUGGGAGAGACUGGAAAAAGCAGAAUGCAGAGAAAAGAGAGUUUUCAGAGCAUUAAAAAACAAUGCUAGACUGUUGUCUCAAUCACAUCACUACACGCACAUGUACUGAGAAUUCCACACAUAAUUUGGGGUAAUACUGCCACUGCCCUGAGGGAGCUCUCCAUCCAGGAUACCAGCUCGACAUAUGCGUUACUGCAGAUUUCUGGUUGUUUGUGCUAAUGUAUCCAGUGUAGCAAGGGCCACAGAUUGAUUUUACUCACAAUGACCAAUUUGGAUAUUUCUGACUUCUUGUAUAAUUUUUCCUCAUUGUAUUGCUUUCAAGGACCCUACUUCAACCUGUUUUCAUUUUCACUGCUUUUAUUCAACUGCAAUAUUGCUAACAUUUGAUGAUGAAAUGAUCUUUUUCUUAAAGCUGGAAUUUACCGAUUAUCCUUUGAGAACUGUCAGCUAACUGACAGCAGCUUUACCCAAAGCAUUCAGCUCUCUGAUUCUCCAUGAGUCCCAAGAGGUUCUCCAGUUUCUUUGGUGAUUACAUGAAGAGAUCCUUCUUGAACAACCGAUGAUUACAGCUGCUUUGGUGAUUACUCUAGAGCUGUGUUGACAUUCAUAGUCCUUAGCUUAGCAAAACUGCUGAACCACCUCCAUCCUGUCAGUAUUUGGCAGAGAGUAGGUCAAAUGACAUGAACUCUAACAACUCAUAUGUAGAUUCACUUCAUAUAUAUCACAUCACCCUUAUCCAUUCAUCCAUAAAUAGACAUUUAGUUGGUUUCCAAGUCUUGGCUAUGAUAAAUAAUGCUGCAAUGAACAUGGAGAUGUAGGUUUCUCCUUGAGAUAGAGUUUUCAUUUUCUUUGGAUAAAUACGCCCAGGAGUGGAAUUACUAGAUAGAAUGGUAGUUCUAUCUUUAAUUUUUGAGGAGCCUCCAUACUGUUUUCCAUAGUGACUGCACUAAUUUACAUUCCCACUAACCGUGCACAAGGGUUUGAUUUUCUCCACACCCAUGCCAACACUUGUAAUCUCAUCUUUUCAAUGACAACCAUUCUAAAAGGGGUGAAGUGAUAGCUUAUUACGGUUUUGAUGUGCUUUUCCCUUAUUAUUAGUGCUGUUGAGC
Molecule: long non-coding RNA, 1670 nt
Organism: Vulpes vulpes (red fox)
Lineage: Eukaryota; Metazoa; Chordata; Mammalia; Carnivora; Canidae
Source: Ensembl